AGCGAACGUUAGCGGCGCGCCUAACACAUGCAAGUCGCCCGAGAAACGGAGCAAUCCGCGGUACAGUGGCGCACGGGUGAGUAACACGUGGAUGACCUUCCCUGGAGUGGUGGAUAACCUGCCGAAAGGCGGGCUAAUACAGCAUGGGACCACGACGCUUUGGCGAUGUGGUGAAAGCGGGCCUCUAUAUAUAAGCUCGCGCUCCGGGACGGGUCCGCGUCCCAUCAGCUAGUUGGUGAGGUAACGGCUCACCAAGGCAACGACGGGUAGCUGGUCUGAGAGGAUGGCCAGCCACACUGGAACUGAGACACGGUCCAGACUCCUACGGGAGGCAGCAGUGGGGAAUCUUGCGCAAUGGGCGAAAGCCUGACGCAGCCACGCCGCGUGAGCGAUGAAGGCCUCGGUCGUAAGACUCUGUGGGAGAGACGAAGAAAGACCNGUGAAGAGCAGGCUUGACGGUAGUCUCCUUAGCAAG
RNAcentral lists this ribosomal RNA (475 nucleotides) under uncultured bacterium. RNAcentral's name for it is "bacterial SSU rRNA". It matches the Rfam family "Bacterial small subunit ribosomal RNA", at positions 29 to 490 of the family's 1533-position model. The record is from RNAcentral.